AUGCGUGAUCAGGUCGGCCUGGACCUGGACGGCUUCCCUCUCGACCAUGAGUUUCCGGAGGACUACGGGCUAGAGGAAGAGGACUAGUGCGACAUCGAAGGGGAGCCUUUGUUCAAGGACGAGCUUGCCAACCAAGCCAUCGGGCCGAAGCCGAAUCACAAGAGCAAGCGGACCAAGGCAUAUACGGUGGCCGAGGACAAGCUUCUUUGCGAGUGUUGGAGAGACAUCGGGCAAGACCCCAAGACGGGCGCCGAACAAAAGCAUUCAACCUUUUGGAUUCAUGUCCACCGUGAGUUCCGUGAGUGCAAGAAGUUUUCGCCGUACCAAAUAGUAAGCGCGCGUGGGUGGGUGUCCAUUUCAAAAUGA
Molecule: ribosomal RNA, 366 nt
Filed under: Triticum aestivum (bread wheat)
Lineage: Eukaryota; Viridiplantae; Streptophyta; Magnoliopsida; Poales; Poaceae
Description: partial small subunit ribosomal RNA
Source: RNAcentral